UGCUUUACACAUGCAAGUCGAACGGUAACAGGUCUUCGGAUGCUGACGAGUGGCGAACGGGUGAGUAAUAUAUCGGAACGUGCCCAGUCGUGGGGGAUAACGUAGCGAAAGUUACGCUAAUACCGCAUACGAUCUACGGAUGAAAGCGGGGGAUCGCAAGACCUCGCGCGAUUGGAGCGGCCGAUAUCAGAUUAGCUAGUUGGUGAGGUAAAGGCUCACCAAGGCGACGAUCCGUAGCAGGUCUGAGAGGAUGACCUGCCACACUGGGACUGAGACACGGCCCAGACUCCUACGGGAGGCAGCAGUGGGGAAUUUUGGACAAUGGGCGAAAGCCUGAUCCAGCCAUGCCGCGUGAGUGAAGAAGGCCUUCGGGUUGUAAAGCUC
This 384-nucleotide ribosomal RNA is filed under the name uncultured organism. Its description in RNAcentral is "bacterial SSU rRNA". It matches the Rfam family "Bacterial small subunit ribosomal RNA", at positions 45 to 433 of the family's 1533-position model. The record is from RNAcentral.